Molecule: ribosomal RNA, 460 nt
Filed under: uncultured bacterium
Lineage: Bacteria
Description: partial 16S ribosomal RNA
Rfam family: Bacterial small subunit ribosomal RNA
Source: RNAcentral
CCUACGGGGGGCAGCAGUGAGGAAUAUUGGUCAAUGGGCGCGAGCCUGAACCAGCCAAGUAGCGUGAAGGAUGACUGCCCUACGGGUUGUAAACUUCUUUUAUAAAGGAAUAAAGUGAGGCACGUGUGCCUUUUUGUAUGUACUUUAUGAAUAAGGAUAGGCUAACUCCGUGCCAGCAGCCGCGGUAAUACGGAGGAUCCGAGCGUUAUCCGGAUUUAUUGGGUUUAAAGGGAGCGUAGAUGGGUUGUUAAGUCAGUUGUGAAAGUUUGCGGCUCAACCGUAAAAUUGCAAUUGAUACUGGGAGUCUUGAGUACAGUAGAGGGAGGCAGAAUUCGAGGUGUAGCGGUGAAAUGCGUAGAUAUGACGAAGAACUCCGAUUGCGAAGGCAGCUUACUAAACUGCCACUGACAUUGAUGCUCGAAAGUGUGGGUAUCAAACAGGAUUAGAUACCCCAGUAGUC